Rhopalosiphum padi (bird cherry-oat aphid) is the source of this 895-nucleotide long non-coding RNA. RefSeq lists it as uncharacterized. The transcript has 3 exons. Lineage: Eukaryota; Metazoa; Arthropoda; Insecta; Hemiptera; Aphididae. The record is from RefSeq and is a predicted model, not a curated record.
AGGAUAGGCGAUAACGGCUAAACGACGGAUCAUGGAUUAUUUCAUAUUUGCUAAUUAGUAAUUACUGACCUUUUUUACCCGUCAGACACCAGUUAGUAUUUAAUAUUUAUUGAGCAAGUGAUUCAUUGCCCAUUCCGUUGACUACUUAUACAUUACUGCAAUGAUUUUAUCAUUGUUUUAGUAUUUAUAAUCAAUGGUUUUAGUUCCUACUGCCUAGUGCUAAGUGGUUACUGAUUGUGAAAUAAUUAAAUUUCCAACUGAAAUGAGUGAUUUAUGUACAUUUACCUCGAUGGAUGCGACAAGUCUCUUGGAAUUCGUCGGAAAAACUGUUGUUGUGCGUACAAAACAGCAACACGCGUCUAAAGGCGUCGUUCACACUGUGGAUCCUGUGACAAAAAGUGUCGUACUGCUGAUCAACAAACAAUGUGAAAUAUUUUCUGGAAUAAACAUCAAAAGUGUUGAAUUAGAAGAUUAGUAAAUUACAGAUAGAUUUUAGAGAAACUCAAUCUCAUCUUUACAUUUAUAUUAUAUUAUAUACAAGUACAAUACAAAAUAUAGUUAAACUUUGUAAUGUAAAAUAAUAUUAUAUUAAUUUUUAAUUGUAAUAUACAUUGUCAACAUCUGUUUAAGCUUAAUACCUAUCUGUCCUAUUAAGUUACUUAUCAUUUUUUUAUAUUCGGUUCAUGUCUAUUAUUGUAAUAUACAUUGAUCACCACCACUGCACGAAAAAAUAAAAUAAUUUAAUGCUGACCACCAUUGACAGAUAUUUGGUAAAAUAUGUUGGGGCUUAACCUAUUAUCAAAAUAAAGCAAGCCUCAACCUUCAUGUAACUAAUUAACCUCCCCCAAACAUGUUAUAAUAUAUUAAUGUAAAUAAAUAAAUUAUGUUGUAUUUA